This 74-nucleotide transfer RNA is filed under the name Bos taurus (domestic cattle). It matches the Rfam family "tRNA". From Rfam's summary of the family: Transfer RNA (tRNA) molecules are approximately 80 nucleotides in length. Their secondary structure includes four short double-helical elements and three loops (D, anti-codon, and T loops). RNAcentral also lists the same sequence under 4 other names. The record is from Rfam by way of RNAcentral. Lineage: Eukaryota; Metazoa; Chordata; Mammalia; Artiodactyla; Bovidae.
UUCCUGGUGGGUUCAGUGGUUAGGACUCUGCACUUUCACUGCUGAGGGCCAAGGUUCAAUCCCCGGUCAGGGAA